Pelobates cultripes (western spadefoot toad) is the source of this 270-nucleotide non-coding RNA. NCBI's taxonomy places the organism in Eukaryota, Metazoa, Chordata, Amphibia, Anura, Pelobatidae. The record is from the annotation of a GenBank genome assembly.
UUGGAGACAGUAAUGCCUGACAUUGAUUUAAGAAGUUGGACUAAACAACGGGAAUGUACAAUAGGGGAAAUAUGUGAGAAUUAUCAAAUAUUAUCUUUUGAUAAAUUGAACCAAAAAUUUAACCUGUCUCAACAAGAUAUAUUUAAAUACCACGGGUAAUGGGGAAUCAGGGUUCCAUUCCGUACAGGGACCCUGAGAAACGGCUACCACGUGCAAGGAAGGCAGCAGACGCGUAAAUGACCCACUCCCAUCGCGGGAAGGUAGUGACAA